RNAcentral lists this ribosomal RNA (433 nucleotides) under uncultured bacterium. RNAcentral's name for it is "partial 16S ribosomal RNA". It matches the Rfam family "Bacterial small subunit ribosomal RNA", at positions 29 to 507 of the family's 1533-position model. The record is from RNAcentral.
AACGAACGCUGGCGGCAGGCCUAACACAUGCAAGUCGAGCGAGGACUUCGGUCCUAGCGGCGGACGGGUGAGUAACGCGUGGGAACGUGCCCUUUGCUUCGGAAUAGCCCUGGGAAACUGGGAGUAAUACCGGAUGAGCCCUUUGGGGGAAAGAUUUAUCGGUGAAGGAUCGGCCCGCGUUGGAUUAGGUAGUUGGUGGGGUAAUGGCCUACCAAGCCGACGAUCCAUAGCUGGUUUGAGAGGAUGAUCAGCCACACUGGGACUGAGACACGGCCCAGACUCCUACGGGAGGCAGCAGUGGGGAAUCUUAGACAAUGGGGGAAACCCUGAUCGAGCCAUGCCGCGUGAGCGAUGAAGGCCUUAGGGUUGUAAAGCUCUUUCAGCUGGGAAGAUAAUGACGGUACCAGCAGAAGAAGCCCCGGCUAACUCCGUG